AUGAGGCUUCUAGUAACUUUAAUAGCUUUUUUUUUUUACAACAAAGUAGUAAUAGUAAAGAGAGGGAAUGGUAGGAAAGAGGUAGAGAGUUGCUUAGUUUACUACUCUAUUGUGCUCCAUGAUGGAUUGAAGAUCACCACCAAGAGUUCCUUCAGGAUCCAAGCUCCAACCAGAAGAACCUUACUUGCUGCUGGGUUUCCCCUUGGGAAGAAACUGAGGCUCAUGGUCCCAGAAGUAAUAAGCAUUAGAGGCAGAAUUUGAAUCCAGUAAGCCACAAGAUUGCAAAUGAAAAUGGGGAGCCAGCCUGGUUGGUUGAGAGGAACAGAAGCAUUUCAAGUUGCUCUGUGGUGGCAUUUGUUUCUAAUCAAGACGGGAAGUGCUGUGGUGGAAAACAUCGCUUAACAGAAGAAUGCUGGGGCAGAUCUCAUGGGAACCUCUGGGAACAAUCAAAACUGCCUGUUUAAGAAGCAGAGUUUCCUGAUAUACUUUGAGGAUACCUCAUAUUAUCUUUUUUGAGAUACCAUUUUAGGAAUGAAUGCUGGCCUGCAUCCAUAAUUUAUCUACAUUUAAAAAUGUAAUAUCUGCAAGGAAGACAUAAUCUCUGGAUUGCAUAGAAUCCAUGUAUAGAGGAAAAUAGGAGCAAGAUAGUGGCAUUUUUCUGAUUUUAGGCAGAUGUUUGAUGAAGAAAAGAUAUGAUGAAAGGCAAAGUCCUACACUGACCCUAUUCCACUCAGUUACAGAAAGGAAAUUUCAGUGCAAUUGAUACUAGAAAAAUGGUUCUGCAAAUAAAAAUAAAUUUGAAAUAGUGAUUUUUAAUGAA
This 820-nucleotide long non-coding RNA is filed under the name Monodelphis domestica (gray short-tailed opossum). Its description in RNAcentral is "lncRNA (ENSMODG00000039835.1)". Lineage: Eukaryota; Metazoa; Chordata; Mammalia; Didelphimorphia; Didelphidae. The record is from RNAcentral.